AGUGAACGCUGGCGGUAGGCCUAACACAUGCAAGUCGAACGGCAGCACCGUAAGAGCUUGCUCUUACGGGUGGCGAGUGUCGGACGGGUGAGGAAUACAUCGGAAUCUACUUUUUCGUGGGGGAUAACGUAGGGAAACUUACGCUAAUACCGCAUACGACCUCCGGGUGAAAGCAGGGGAUCUUCGGACCUUGCGCGAUUGAAUGAGCCGAUGUCGGAUUAGCUAGUUGGCGGGGUAAGGGCCAACAAGGCGACGAUCCGUAGCUGGUCUGAGAGGAAUGUCAGCCACACUGUAACUGAGAAACGGUCCAGACUCCUACGGGAGGCAGCAGUGGGGAAUAUUGGACAAUGGGCGCAAGCCGGAUCCAGCCAAACCGCGUGGGUGAAGAAGGCGUUCGGGUUGGAAAGCCCUUUUGUUGGGAAAGAAAAGCAGCAGGUUAAUACCCCGCUGUGCUGACGGUACCCAAAGAAUAAGCACCGGCUAACUUCGUG
This 491-nucleotide ribosomal RNA is filed under the name uncultured bacterium. Its description in RNAcentral is "partial 16S ribosomal RNA". It matches the Rfam family "Bacterial small subunit ribosomal RNA", at positions 29 to 507 of the family's 1533-position model. The record is from RNAcentral.